CUUAUCUCGUUCUCAUCAGAAGACAGAAGUCAAAAGAAAAAGUAGGCGAAGAAGCGAACGUGUCUGCUGGAUUGAUGGAGGCGGAUAAGGGAAAAGAUGUCGACUUUGUUGAUGAAGACAAGGAGCAGGCGGAGAUCCAAGCCGCGGCUCGAAAGUGGGACGACAUUAUGCGGUCGAGGAUCGAUUUAAUGCGGCGACUUGGCCAACCCGUCAGGCUUUUCUACCCCAACAAUCCGGUGGAUCCUCGCAUCCUCCUCAAUCGAGAGAGCAACUGCGACAAGAUCGACACGGGCGCCGGAUUGUAAAGGGGUACAUCCGUACCCGCGACAAGUAAUUCAGAACGGAGGGAGUACAUACAUCCAAGUGGCGAAAGCAGAUAAGCUAGCUUUUGUAGGUCAGGGGAAGGGGAUUUCUUCAUAACUAACUUGUUAUGUGUUUGGAGCUACUACCUCUGUACACUAAUGUGCUACUUUAGUUUACAGAGCGAGUAUAAAUUACCCAAAAAUAUGUUCCACGAAAGAAUGAACGGCAUUCAUGGCCCAAACAUCCAUUUACUUCCUCUUAGGCCAUAUUUAGUGUUUGGUUUUGUUGGCGCCUAACAAGUACUAAGAAGGAUGUCGCAAAAUUAGCACCGGUGCCCAACAUUGUUCAAUGAGAGGUACUACCUCCGUUUCAAAAUAUAACGCGUUUUUUGUAGGCUAGUUUAGCAGCCUUAAAAAAUGUCUUAUAUUUUGAGACGGAGGUAGUAGCAUUUUGUCUAUAUGUAGAUGCACAGUGCAAGCAGUUUUAAGUACAAGCACAGUGCCAAUGGUCCUCUAUUCCUAAAUAGUUGCAAAGAGGUAUCAUUGCCCAAGUUCAAAUCCUUGACAGCCAUGCCGAGUGGAAGCUCAAGGCUCGUCACCAAGAGGUAUCAUUGCAUUUUUAUUUCAUUGUUUCCAUGUUGCGGUUAGUUCUAACAAAUGUGUUUAUGUUGAUCACUUUCCGAAAAUUUAGGCAACUGGAAGUGGCAUUGGCAUCGGCAUUGGCUGGAGGUGGAACCUGCUCAUCUGAAGACAACAACCAGUGAAAUUAGCAGGAAUAUAAGUUAACGACUAAUUUUGGAGUUUGUUUACAACAAUAUAGUCCGGUGCAUGUUAGUUUGCGACUACUGCAAGCAUGUUUUUUCGACUGUUGGAACUUGACGAUGAUGUAAUGCCACUUGUCGACUGGAACCAGGGAAAUAUAGGUGAUGUUGCAGUUGCA
Molecule: RNA transcript, 1242 nt
Organism: Triticum aestivum (bread wheat)
Lineage: Eukaryota; Viridiplantae; Streptophyta; Magnoliopsida; Poales; Poaceae
Exons: 2
Source: RefSeq, a predicted model, not a curated record